This 69-nucleotide transfer RNA is filed under the name Ictidomys tridecemlineatus (thirteen-lined ground squirrel). RNAcentral describes it as "Spermophilus tridecemlineatus (thirteen-lined ground squirrel) tRNA". It matches the Rfam family "tRNA". From Rfam's summary of the family: Transfer RNA (tRNA) molecules are approximately 80 nucleotides in length. Their secondary structure includes four short double-helical elements and three loops (D, anti-codon, and T loops). Further hydrogen bonds mediate the characteristic L-shaped molecular structure. tRNAs have two regions of fundamental functional importance: the anti-codon, which is responsible for specific mRNA codon recognition, and the 3' end, to which the tRNAs corresponding amino acid is attached (by aminoacyl-tRNA synthetases). tRNAs cope with the degeneracy of the genetic code in two manners: having more than one tRNA (with a specific anti-codon) for a particular amino acid; and 'wobble' base-pairing, i.e. permitting non-standard base-pairing at the 3rd anti-codon position. The record is from Rfam by way of RNAcentral. Lineage: Eukaryota; Metazoa; Chordata; Mammalia; Rodentia; Sciuridae.
GGGGUUGUGGCUCAGUGGUAGAGAGCUCACCUCAAACGUGUGAGACCCUGGGUUCGAUCCUCAGUACCA